UACGUAGGGUGCAAGCGUUGUCCGGAUUUAUUGGGUUUAAAGGGUGCGUAGGCGGCUUAUUAAGUCAGGGGUGAAAGACUGCAGCUCAACUGUAGCAGUGCCUUUGAUACUGGUGAGCUUGAGUACAGAUGAGGAUGGCGGAAUGGGUGGUGUAGCGGUGAAAUGCACAGAUACCAUGAAGAACACCGAUUGCGAAGGCAGCUGGCUAAACUGUAACUGACGCUGAGGCACGAAAGCGUGGGGAUCGAACAGG
This 253-nucleotide ribosomal RNA is filed under the name uncultured bacterium. RNAcentral's name for it is "partial 16S ribosomal RNA". It matches the Rfam family "Bacterial small subunit ribosomal RNA", at positions 524 to 776 of the family's 1533-position model. The record is from RNAcentral.